GACGAACGCUGGCGGCGUGCUUAACACAUGCAAGUCGAACGGAAAGGCCCUGCUUUUGUGGGGUGCUCGAGUGGCGAACGGGUGAGUAACACGUGAGUAACCUGCCCUUGACUUUGGGAUAACUUCAGGAAACUGGGGCUAAUACCGGAUAGGAGCUCCUGCUGCAUGGUGGGGGUUGGAAAGUUUCGGCGGUUGGGGAUGGACUCGCGGCUUAUCAGCUUGUUGGUGGGGUAGUGGCUUACCAAGGCUUUGACGGGUAGCCGGCCUGAGAGGGUGACCGGCAAAUUGGGGCUUGGGUGCAGGCCCGGGCUCCACAGGGGGGAGCGGAGGGGGAUUGUUGCCAAAGGGGAGGAAACCUGAUGAAUCAACCCCUGGGGGGGGAGGAGGGCCUUCGGGUUGAAACCCCCUUUCGCCGGUGCCGAGGCGGGAGGGGCGGUAAUUGGAAAAGAAGCCCCGGCAAACUGGGU
RNAcentral lists this ribosomal RNA (467 nucleotides) under uncultured bacterium. RNAcentral's name for it is "partial 16S ribosomal RNA". It matches the Rfam family "Bacterial small subunit ribosomal RNA", at positions 28 to 506 of the family's 1533-position model. The record is from RNAcentral.